CGAAAGCCUGACGGAGCAAUACCGCGUGAGGGAGGAAGGCUCUUGGGUCGUAAACCUCUUUUCUCAGGGAAGAAAAAAUGACGGUACCUGAGGAAUAAGCAUCGGCUAACUCCGUGCCAGCAGCCGCGGUAAUACGGAGGAUGCAAGCGUUAUCCGGAAUGAUUGGGCGUAAAGCGUCCGUAGGUGGUUAGGCAAGUCUGCUGUCAAAGCUCGGGGCUUAACUCCGAAUCGGCGGUGGAAACUGCCAGACUUGAGUGCGGUAGGGGUAGAGGGAAUUCCCGGUGUAGCGGUGAAAUGCGUAGAUAUCGGGAAGAACACCGGCGGCGAAGGCGCUCUACUGGGCCGUAACUGACACUGAGGGACGAAAGCU
Molecule: ribosomal RNA, 370 nt
Filed under: uncultured cyanobacterium
Lineage: Bacteria; Bacillati; Cyanobacteriota
Description: bacterial SSU rRNA
Rfam family: Bacterial small subunit ribosomal RNA
Source: RNAcentral